ACCAAGGCGACGACGGCUAGGGGGCCUGAGAGGGUGACCCCCCACACUGGAACUGAGACACGGUCCAGACUCCUACGGGAGGCAGCAGUGAGGAAUAUUGCACAAUGGGCGCAAGCCUGAUGCAGCGACGCCGCGUGGGUGAUGAAGGCCUUCGGGUCGUAAAGCCCUUUUCUAGGUGACGAGAAUGGACGGUAGCCUAGGAAUAAGUGUCGGCUAACUACGUGCCAGCAGCCGCGGUAAAACGUAGGACACAAGCGUUAUCCGGAGUUACUGGGCGUAAGGGCGUGUAGGCGGACAUGUAAGUCUACUCUGAAAGCUCCUGGCUAAACUGGGAGAGGCGAGUGGAGACUGCAAGUCUAGAGUGAGGAGGAGGAAAGUGGAAUUCCGCGUGUAGUGGUGAAAUGCGUAGAGAUGCGGAGGAACACCAGUGGCGAAAGCGGCUUUCUGGUCCUUAACUGACGCUGAGGCGCGAAAGCAUGGGGAGCGAACGGGAUUAGAAACCCCGGUAGUCCAUGCCGUAAACGAUGUUCACUAAACGUUCGUUUCCCGCGAGGGAAGCGGGUGUUGAAGCUAACGCAGUAAGUGAACCGCCUGGGGAGCACGGUCGCAAGGCUAAAACUCAAAGGAAUUGACGGGGGACCGCACAAGCAGCGGAGCGUGUGGUUUAAUUCGAGGCUACACGAAGAACCUUACCUAGGUUUGACAUCGUAGUGAAGUCUGCGUGAAAGCGUGGAUGUCCCGCAAGGGACACUAUGACAGGUGCUGCAUGGCUGUCGUCAGCUCGUGCCGUGAGGUGUUCGGUUAAGUCCGCAAACGAGCGCAACCCUCGGUGCCAGUUACAAGUGUCUGGCGCGACUGCCCGUGGCAAACGGGAGGAAGGUGGGGAUGACGUCAAGUCAGCAAGGCCUUUAUAUCUAGGGCUACACACACGCUACAAUGGCGCGUACAAUGGGUCGCGAACCUGCGAAGGGGAGCCAAUCCUAAAAAGCGCGUCUCAGUUCAGAUUGCAGGCUGCAACCCGCCUGCAUGAAGUUGGAGUUGCUAGUAACCGCGCGUCAGCAGAGUGCGGUGAAUACGUUCCCGGUCCUUGUACACACCGCCCGUCACGUCAUGAGAGCUGGUGACGCCUGAAGUCGGGAAGCUAACCGCAAGGGGGCUACUGCCGAGGGCAGCACUGGUGAUUGGGACGAAGUCGUAACAAGGUAGCUGUAGCGGAAGCUGCGGCUG
This 1227-nucleotide ribosomal RNA is filed under the name metagenome. Its description in RNAcentral is "bacterial SSU rRNA". It matches the Rfam family "Bacterial small subunit ribosomal RNA", at positions 267 to 1520 of the family's 1533-position model. The record is from RNAcentral.